Molecule: ribosomal RNA, 475 nt
Filed under: uncultured bacterium
Lineage: Bacteria
Description: bacterial SSU rRNA
Rfam family: Bacterial small subunit ribosomal RNA
Source: RNAcentral
AAUGAACGUUGGCGGCGUGGAUUAGGCAUGCAAGUCGAACGCGAAAGGGUUUACCUUAGUAGCGUGGCGUAAGGGGUAGUAAUUCCUGAGCAACUUGCCCUCAGGUCUGGGAUAUACGGUGGAAACGCCGAGCAAUACUAGACAUCGUCCGAAAAUGGCAUCAUUAAUGGACGAAAGGCGACGCCUGAGGAGAGGCUCAGGGCCUAUCAGCUAGUUGGUGAGGUAACGGCCCACCAAGGCAACGACGGGUAGGGGAUGUGAGAGCAUGAUCCCCACCACUGGCACUGAGACACUGGCCAGACUCCUACGGGAGGCUGCAGUCGAGAAUCUUCGGCAAUGGGCGCAAGCCUGACCGAGCGACGCCGCGUGGAGGAUGAAGGCCUUCGGGUUGUAAACUCCUGUUGGGGGGGAACAAAUCUUGAGUGAACCCCUGAGGAAGCACGGGCUAAGUUCGUGCCAGCCGCCGCAGUAAGAC